This 253-nucleotide ribosomal RNA is filed under the name uncultured bacterium. RNAcentral's name for it is "partial 16S ribosomal RNA". It matches the Rfam family "Bacterial small subunit ribosomal RNA", at positions 524 to 776 of the family's 1533-position model. The record is from RNAcentral.
UACAGAGACUGCAAGCGUUAUUCGGAUUCACUGGGCGUAAAGGGUGCGCAGGCGGCCAUGUGUGUGAGGCGUGAAAGCCCGGGGCUCAACCCCGGAAUUGCACCUCAAACUACAUGGCUAGAGCAUUGGAGAGGGUAGCGGAAUUCACGGUGUAGCAGUGAAAUGCGUAGAUAUCGUGAGGAACACCAGAGGCGAAGGCGGCUACCUGGACAAUUGCUGACGCUCAGGCACGAAAGCGUGGGGAGCAAAAGGG